RNAcentral lists this ribosomal RNA (321 nucleotides) under uncultured eukaryote. RNAcentral's name for it is "partial 18S ribosomal RNA". It matches the Rfam family "Eukaryotic small subunit ribosomal RNA", at positions 1470 to 1796 of the family's 1831-position model. The record is from RNAcentral.
CCCUUAGAUGUUCUGGGCCGCACGCGCGCUACACUGACGCAUUCAACGAGUCUCCUUGGCCGAGAGGCCUGGAUAAUCUUGUGAACGUGCGUCGUGAUAGGGAUAGAUUAUUGCAAUUAUUAAUCUUGAACGAGGAAUUCCUAGUAAACGCAGAUCAUCAAUCUGCAUUGAUUACGUCCCUGCCCUUUGUACACACCGCCCGUCGCACCUACCGAUUGGAUGGUCCGGUGAGGCCUCGGGAUUGUGGCCGGUGCAUUCAUUUGUGUCGGUUGCGAGAACUUGUCCAAACCUUAUCAUCUAGAGGAAGGUGAAGUCGUAACA